UUCUCCUGUUGCAUGGCAUAGGACAAACACAUUAUUAACAGGAAGAGAUAAUUUGCGCCAUGGACAACAAAAGACAGUGGAAAGGAGUAUUAAGAGGAUGCAGGGCCUCUCACAUGGGUUUGAUUGAUGACUUCAGAGAGUUUCCUGCCUGUAGGCGCUGCCAUGGUCGGAGCUCUCAACGUGUCUCUUGAGGUCGUUGGUUUCCACUCGGUUGGCGGCAAAAUCCGCGGACGAGACAAACACGUUGAGAGCUGUUGAGCCGCACUCGAGCUUCCCUCUAUUUUGGAUCAUUAUUUUCUUUUCCGGGUUCGGAUCAGGUUAUAUGGGUUCCGGUUGUAUUUUUCGCACCAAAGAAUGAUUAAUCUUCUUUCAUGAUUAUGA
Phoenix dactylifera (date palm) is the source of this 381-nucleotide non-coding RNA. NCBI's taxonomy places the organism in Eukaryota, Viridiplantae, Streptophyta, Magnoliopsida, Arecales, Arecaceae. The record is from RefSeq and is a predicted model, not a curated record.